GUAAAACUAAAGAGUAUAUCCGUGUCUCAGCCCUAAAUCCCAAUACGUAUCAUCAAUCAGGAAUAAAGAACUUCCCCAAAAUCUUAAAUCUAAUCGGACAAAGCUCAGCCAGGAGCAGCUCCGAGUACGAUCGGCGGCUCCGGCAACGAUAAGAAUAGUGGUCGUAUGUAUUAUGCGGUUGAAGUUCUGAGCACACUCUAUGUCGUUGUUUCCGUGUUAAUAAACUCAUUUUGUGCAAAAUCCUUAUUGAACCAACAUGGCGAUGAAGAAAAUUAUUGCUAUUUGUCAAUCAUGGGGUGAGUUUGAGACCAGUAAAGAUGGGUCUAUGACAUACAAAGGUGGAGAGGCCUAUGCUAUGGAUCUUGAUCAGCAAACUAAGUUAAGUGAUUUCAAGCAGGAACUAGCUGAAACGUUUCACUAUAGUGUUGACAGCAUGUUGAUCAAGUACUUCCUCCCCGCAAACAAAAAGACUCUCAUUACAAUCUCCAAGGAGAAGGACCUCAAGCGCAUGGUUAACUUUUUCAUGGAUUCAGACCAAGUGGAGGUUUUUGUCAUGACAGAGGAAGGUGUUACUCCAAAUGUAUCAAAUCUGCCUGCCAGUAGGUCGAGCAGGACAACUGAGUCCGAAGCAGUGGUUCCUGCAGCUGUCCCUGUUGAUAUGAUGAUGGAUCUUGAUGGUCCAGUUGAUAUGGAUACGCAUAUUAGAAUACCACUUGGUGGUGAGCUUGCCAUUAUUGAUGGUGAAAAUGAUCGUAGAGCUGUGACGCAGUGGGAGAAAACGAUCACUGGUGUGGACCAAAGGUUUCGUAGCUUUACUGAAUUCCGGGAAGCUCUUCAUAAAUACUCAAUUGCACACGGGUUUGCUUACAAAUUCAAGAAAAAUGACAAUCGUCGUGUAACUGCAAAAUGCAAAUCAGAAGGUUGUCCAUGGCGUAUCUAUGCAUCCAGGUUGGCUACCACCCAAUUGGUUUGUAUUAAGAAAAUGAGCUCAACACAUACGUGUGAAGGAGCUUCCGUAAAAGCUGGGUAUAGGGCAACGAGAGGCUGGGUGGGAAAUAUAAUAAAGGAGAAGCUGAAAGCUUCUCCAAAUUACAAACCCAAAGACAUUGCCAGUGACAUCAAACGUGAGUAUGGGAUUCAACUGAACUAUACGCAGGCAUGGCGUGCGAAGGAGAUUGCAAGGGAGCAGCUUCAGGGUUCAUAUAAAGAGGCAUAUAAUCAGGUACCACUUCUCUGUGAGAAGAUAAUGGAGACUAACCCAGGUAGCAUUGCUACGUUUGCCACAAAGGAGGACUCAAGCUUCCAUCGUCUGUUUGUGUCAUUUCAUGCCUCAAUAUAUGGGUUCCAACAGGGUUGCCGUCCGCUCCUUUUCCUUGAUUGCACUACCCUAUACUCCAAGUACCAAGGGACCUUAUUGGCUGCAAUGGGUGUAGAUGGGGAUGAUGGUGUAUUUCCAGUAGCUUUUGCUAUAGUAGAUGCCGACACUGAGGACAACUGGCAUUGGUUUCUGGCAGAGUUAAAAUCUGCAGUGUCAACAUCUCAUCCGAUCACAUUUGUUGCAGAUUUCCAGAAGGGCUUGAGAGAGUCAUUGCGUGAAAUAUUUGAAAAUUGCCAUCAUGCGUAUUGUCUGCGAUAUCUUGCUGAGAAACUUAAUAGAGAUUUGAAAGGACAGUUUUCACAUGAAGCAAGGCGUCUUAUGGUUCAAGAUUUUUAUGCUGCUGCUUAUGCUCCUAAACUUGAAAGUUUCGAACGUUGCACUGAAAAUGUGAAGGCUAUCUCGCCUGAAGCUUACAAUUGGGUCAUUAGAAGUGAGCCUGAUCAUUGGGCAAAUGCGUUUUUUGGAGGGGCAAGGUAUAACCAUAUGACAUCUAACUUUGGAGAGCUCUUUUACAGUUGGGUAUUCGAGGCAACUGAGUUGCCAAUAACUCAGUUUGUUGAUGUUUUACGGGGAAAGAUGAUGGAGUUGAUUUAUACACGGCGAGUUGAUUGCAGUCAGUGGGGAACAAGGCUUACACCAUCUAUGGAGGAAAAGCUACAAAAUGAGAUCUCAAAAUCAUGCUCUCUUCAAGUGUUACCUACACAUGGUAGCACAUUUGAAGUUCGUGGUGAAUCCGUUGACCUAGUAGACAUUGAUCAUUGGGACUGUAGUUGCAGAAUAUGGCAACAUACCGGGUUGCCUUGCUGCCAUGCUAUUGCUGUUUUUGAAUGCCUUGGUAGGAGCCCAUAUGAUUAUUGCUCACGAUACUUCACUGCUGAGAGUUACCGUCUUACAUAUGCAGAAUCAAUUCAUCCCGUACCAAAUGUGGAAAGACCAUUGAACAUUGUACUGACUGAGGGAGAACUCUCAGUCUCAGUAACUCCUCCACCAACUAGACGUCCACCAGGUAGGCCAAAGAUGAAGCAACCUGGAUCAGUAGAAAUAAUCAAACGCCAACUUCAGUGUAGCAAGUGCAAGGGCCUUGGCCACAAUAAGAGGAAAUGCAAGUAGGUUUCACCUGUACAGCAUUCAGGUGAUAAAACUUCUGAAUUUUUGAGUUGCUUGCACUUGGCACGUGUGUAUAUUGCUUAUCCUGGUUGUUUAUGUAUGCAUGUCCCAAGUAAUGUACAUUCUUGUGGCAUCUCAAACUUUUUUAUGUCACUAGCAUCUGGAGUAUUUAACAUAUGCUAUGUCCAUGGUGUAGACUCUAUGGGGUAUACUCUGUUUCAGCAUUUUCAUCGUUGAAAUUUGUUGCCUUUUAGAAAAUAGUUGUUUAGGAGACGGCUUUGCCACUUAUGAUAUUAGGUGGGAAAAAAUUCUCCUGUUGGUACGGCUUGUGUGGGAGCACUGGGAGGCCAUUUCCCUCUCAGUAUGUUGCUUCAAAUUCUAUUGGAAAGAGUUGUUUUUGUGAUGGCUGGCGGCUUAGGCUAGUAGUUGGAAAAAAUUCUCAUGUUGGUAUGACUUGUGUGCGAGGUCUUUUGUUGAACCAUCCUAUCUUAAUUCCUUUCGACGGGUGCUAUUCCCAUCUCCGCAUCCUACUUGAAAUUAUAUUGGAAGGUUUUCGUGUCAAACUUGCAUUUUCUUAUUGGAAGGUUUACGUUUUCUAGUGUUCUCAGAAUGAACGACUUGGAAGUAAAGUAUGGACCCCUUUUGAAGAUAUCAAAUUACUACCUCGUCUAACAUUUACCAAAAGUGCUUUUUCCCCUCCCCAAAAUAGAAACGAGAAAAAUUUUCUCGCAUUACAAUUGUAUUUGGAGUUCAUAAUUUUAUUGAUGAGCUACUAUUUUAUGCUGUACAGGACGGGUGAAGAAUGAUGCAUCACAUUGCUGAGACUUAACAAGUUUCACAAGCAAAGAGGAGAUUCGAGGAAAUUGCAAGAAGAUUGGUAUCUUCGCAUUUCAAUGUAUUAACUCGUUUCCUGGUUACUGCUUUAUAUUUCUAAACCCAUUUGGGCCGUGACAUUGACUACCGAUGCAGUAUUACAUGCAGCAUAAUUUUUUUGCUCAGACUUUGCAUGAGUCUUCGAAUUGUGUAGUUGUUGCUUGAUAUAGCGCAUGACUAGUUUCUACGUACGUAUAUUGAGUCUUGCGAUGUGUGGGAGGAUUUUGGUAACAUUUCUAAUCUAUUUAUUGUAUUUACUUUUGUCAUUGGUGAAAA
Molecule: RNA transcript, 3634 nt
Organism: Rhododendron vialii
Lineage: Eukaryota; Viridiplantae; Streptophyta; Magnoliopsida; Ericales; Ericaceae
Exons: 4
Source: RefSeq, a predicted model, not a curated record